AAAUGCUCAAGAGAGAGGUAGCCCUGCAAGCUACUCUCAGCUACCGCCUGAAGGCCCCAGUAUGGUUCACGUUGGCACUGGUGAUCAAAACUUGAUGGAAGA
Molecule: non-coding RNA, 102 nt
Organism: Callorhinus ursinus (northern fur seal)
Lineage: Eukaryota; Metazoa; Chordata; Mammalia; Carnivora; Otariidae
Source: RefSeq, a predicted model, not a curated record